RNAcentral lists this ribosomal RNA (473 nucleotides) under uncultured soil bacterium. Its description in RNAcentral is "bacterial SSU rRNA". It matches the Rfam family "Bacterial small subunit ribosomal RNA", at positions 26 to 495 of the family's 1533-position model. The record is from RNAcentral.
AGAUUGAACGCUGGCGGCAUGCUUUACACAUGCAAGUCGAACGGCAGCACGAGGGCAACCCUGGUGGCGAGUGGCGAACGAGUGAGUAAUGCAUCGGAACGUAUCUUUAAGUGAGGGAUAACGCAUCGAAAGAUGCGCUAAUACCGCAUAAUCUCUGAGGAGAAAAGCAGAAGAUCGCAAGACCUUGCGCUUUUGGAGCGGCCGAUGUCUGAUUAGCUAGUUGGUGGGGUAAAGGCUUACCAAGGCUUCGAUCAGUAGCUGGUCUGAGAGGACGACCAGCCACACUGGGGCUGAGACACGGCCCAGACUCCUACGGGAGGCAGCAGUGGGGAAUUUUGGACAAGUGGGGGAAACCCUGAUCCAGCCAUGCCGCGUGAGUAGAAGAAGGCCUUCGGUUGUAAGCUCUUUCAGACCGAACGAAACGGUACGUUAACGUAACGUGACGUACUGACGGUACCGAAGAAGAAGACACC